This 329-nucleotide RNase P RNA is filed under the name Pseudomonadota bacterium. RNAcentral describes it as "Proteobacteria bacterium partial RNase P RNA component class A". It matches the Rfam family "Bacterial RNase P class A", at positions 75 to 343 of the family's 367-position model. From Rfam's summary of the family: Ribonuclease P (RNase P) is a ubiquitous endoribonuclease, found in archaea, bacteria and eukarya as well as chloroplasts and mitochondria. Its best characterised activity is the generation of mature 5'-ends of tRNAs by cleaving the 5'-leader elements of precursor-tRNAs. Cellular RNase Ps are ribonucleoproteins. The record is from RNAcentral. Lineage: Bacteria; Pseudomonadati; Pseudomonadota.
UCGGCGUGUCACGCAAUCGCGUUUACAGGCUCACGCGCGUUCCGUCUCUCUGAUACUCUAUUCGCGGGAGUCGGCCGGGCAGUCGCCGGGGGGGCGUGAGCCUACGGAAAGUGCCGCAGAAAAUAUACCGCCGGCCGCGAGGCCGGUAAGGGUGAAAUGGUGCGGUAAGAGCGCACCGCGCAGGCGGUAACGCCUGUGGCAGGGUAAACCCCACCCGAAGCAAGACCGAAUAGGGGAACGCUUGCAGUGUGCCCACACGAGUUCCCGGGUAGGUCGCUGGAGACGUUCGGUGACGUACGUUCUAGAUGAAUGGCUGCCCUCGACAGAAC